This 465-nucleotide ribosomal RNA is filed under the name uncultured bacterium. RNAcentral describes it as "partial 16S ribosomal RNA". It matches the Rfam family "Bacterial small subunit ribosomal RNA", at positions 28 to 507 of the family's 1533-position model. The record is from RNAcentral.
GACGAACGCUGGCGGCGUGCUUAACACAUGCAAGUCGAACGGAAAGGCCCCUUUGGGGGUUCUCGAGUGGCGCACGGGUGAGUAACACGUGAGUAACCUGCCCUUGACUUCGGGAUAACUUCAGGAAACUGGGGCUAAUACCGGAAAGGAAUCUUUGCGGCAUGGUGGGGGUUGGAAAGCUUCGGCGGUUUUGGAUGGACUCGCGGCUUAUCAGCUUGUUGGUGGGGUAGGGGCUUACCAAGGCUUUGACGGGUAGCCGGCCUGAGAGGGCGACCGGCCACAUUGGGACUGAGAUACGGCCCAGACGCCUACGGGAGGCAGAAGUGGGGAAUAUUGAACAAUGGGUGGAAGCCUGAUGCAGCAACGCCGCGUGCGGGAUGACGGCCUUCGGGUUGUAAACCGCUUUCAGCAGGGGCGAAGCUUGUGGUGACGGUACCUGCAGAAGAAGCACCGGCUAACUACGUG